AUCGAGAAUUUUGGUCCACUGCUGGCUAGAUUUGAAAUCUAAUGGGUCACACACAAUAAGAACUUGAUCUUGAUCUAAUUAAUUUAAAUUUAUUAUAAAUUUAAUGGGUUAAUUAAAUUGCUAGCACAUGAAUUAACCCGAGUUCCCAAUUGGGUUCAGUGCAAAGGUGUUUGUGCUAACCUAGUCUUGUUGCCUUGACCCAAUGUGAUUGGGUUUGAACCAUUUAAUUAAUUAAUUAAUUUUAUAUAGUUUUAUAAAAGUGUUUCACGUGGAACCAGCCUCCUCCAUGCCAAAAGCCACACCCAAAUAAAUUUUACACACCCC
This 324-nucleotide long non-coding RNA is filed under the name Elaeis guineensis (African oil palm). Its description in RNAcentral is "long non-coding RNA (EGUI_LNC082050)". The record is from RNAcentral. Lineage: Eukaryota; Viridiplantae; Streptophyta; Magnoliopsida; Arecales; Arecaceae.